GUACCUCACGGAAGCCGGCUUUGGCCCUGCGGCUGCUACCGUCGCCGCGGAGAAAUUGUUGGAUCUGGCAGUCUAGGAAUGAAUCUCCUCUCAGCCUUUAAGCUCACCUGGUCAGAAUCCUUGGAUGAGCCUGUGGGACCGUUCCUCCUAGCCCGGUGGUUUGGAACCAGUGGCUUUGGGACUGUAAGAGGAUGGACAAAGGUAGUAUGAGGCCGGGACAGCUCCCCAAAUGCUCGGGCGCCAAGCAUCUGCUGAUUCCACUCUGUGCCUGGCACGUGUGUCUUUCGGUCCUGGCUAGGCCUUGCCACCUCCCCCUGGGCCAGCACCACCCAUGUACCUGUCGGCAGAGCCACAGUUGACUGACUUGCUGUUGAGCUGCUGCUCUUUAGCACGGCUGCAUUUUGAUGGCAGAGGGAGCAGUUAUGCCCAGAGCCCAGCGUGUCGGCAUCACCAGUCUGACCUGAGCACCAUGUGCUGCACGACAUGACACGUGGCACCGGGGGAACUGCCCAGCGUGGAAGGUCUGGGCCAGGUCUGAGCCCAGAUGGGAUCUGGAUGGCCAAGGAACUCUACCUUAAAACCUCAAGUGUCAAGGAGGCAGGGGAGGGGCCAAGAGGGCUGGCAGGGGAAGGGGGCUGGGGAGGGGUCCCAUUUGCAGAGGCUCUAGGAUCUUAGGAGGCCCGAAUCCACCAUUUCUCUCUUGCUAGAUUCUCAGGGGCUGCUAGAUUCAUCCCUGAUGGCAUCAGGCACUGCCAGCCGCUCAGAGGAUGAGGAGUCACUGGCAGGGCAGAAGCGAGCCUCCUCCCAGGCCUUGGGCACCAUCCCUAAACGGAGAAGCUCCUCCAGGUUCAUCAAGAGGAAGAAGUUCGAUGAUGAGCUGGUGGAGAGCAGCCUGGCAAAAUCUUCUACCCGGGCAAAGGGGGCCAGUGGGGUGGAACCAGGGCGCUGUUCGGGGAGUGAACCCUCCUCCAGUGAGAAGAAGAA
This 984-nucleotide long non-coding RNA is filed under the name Homo sapiens (human). Its description in RNAcentral is "non-protein coding lnc-FAM186B-3:2". Lineage: Eukaryota; Metazoa; Chordata; Mammalia; Primates; Hominidae. The record is from RNAcentral.